GAUGAACGCUGGCGGCGUGCUUAACACAUGCAAGUCGAACGAAGCAUUUAGGACAGAUUACUUCGGUUUGUAGUUCUUUAUGACUGAGUGGCGGACGGGUGAGUAACGCGUGGGUAACCUGCCUUGUACUGGGGCAUAGCAGCUGGCAACGGCUGGUAUUACCGCAUAAGCGCCCAAUGUUACAUGCGAUGUUGUGAAAAACUCCGGUGGUAUACGAUGGACGCGAGUCUGAUUAGCUAGUUGGUGAGCUAACAGCCCACCAAGGCGACGAUCAGUAGCCGAGAUGAGAGGGGGACCGGCGACAUCGGGACGGAGACACGGCCCAGACUCCUACGGGAGGCAGCAGUGGGGAAUAGUGCAAAAUGGAGGAAACUCUGAAGGAGCGACGACGCGAGAGUGAAGAAGUUAGUCGUUAUGAAAAGCGCUAUCAGCAGGGAAGAUAGUGACGGUACCUGAUGAAAAAGCUCCGGCUAAAUACGUG
RNAcentral lists this ribosomal RNA (481 nucleotides) under uncultured bacterium. RNAcentral's name for it is "partial 16S ribosomal RNA". It matches the Rfam family "Bacterial small subunit ribosomal RNA", at positions 28 to 507 of the family's 1533-position model. The record is from RNAcentral.